This 253-nucleotide ribosomal RNA is filed under the name uncultured bacterium. RNAcentral describes it as "partial 16S ribosomal RNA". It matches the Rfam family "Bacterial small subunit ribosomal RNA", at positions 524 to 776 of the family's 1533-position model. The record is from RNAcentral.
UACAGAGGUGGCAAGCGUUGUUCGGAAUUACUGGGCGUAAAGGGCGCGUAGGCGGUUCGUUAAGUCCUGUGUGAAAUCCCCCGGCUCAACUGGGGAACUGCACAGGAAACCAGCGGGCUUGAGUACGGAAGAGGCGAGUGGAAUUCCUGGUGUAGCGGUGAAAUGCGCAGAUAUCAGGAGGAACACCAAUGGCGAAGGCAGCACUCUGGGACGUGACUGACGCUGAGACGCGAAAGCGUGGGGAGCAAACAGG